Molecule: long non-coding RNA, 262 nt
Filed under: Physcomitrium patens
Lineage: Eukaryota; Viridiplantae; Streptophyta; Bryopsida; Funariales; Funariaceae
Description: long non-coding RNA (PPAT_LNC002371)
Source: RNAcentral
UGGUUGUAAGUACUUUUAAGAAUGAAUUCAAAUCAUAAAAGAGUUGUGAAUUCUUUUCUAUCAAAGGUGCAAAUCAAGUCAAAGCACUUUUAGAUGAAUUGUGCCUAUGAAUUUAACUUGAAUAAAUCCAUGACAAUAUUAGAAGAGAUGCAACCUUAAAUAAAGCUUAACUUCUUACAAAAAUCUUCAAAAUUUUGAUCUUGUUCCAUCAAACUUCUUAGGCAUAUUAAUUCUUGUCAGUGUUGUACUUGUAGAAGCAAAA